RNAcentral lists this long non-coding RNA (750 nucleotides) under Sinocyclocheilus grahami. Its description in RNAcentral is "lncRNA (ENSSGRG00000054986.1)". The record is from RNAcentral. Lineage: Eukaryota; Metazoa; Chordata; Actinopteri; Cypriniformes; Cyprinidae.
AAAAAACACAAUUAUUUGCUUUUUGCAUAUGAAGCACCAUACUUUCAAAAUGUUUUUUUUAAAUGCUUUUUUUAAUGCUCACUGUUUGAUCUCUUGCUCAUGUACAUAUGUGCCCUCUCACGUUCCCCCUCCUUCCUCCCCUGUGUACUAUGUACACUCCCCCUCCCUCUUGCCAACUCCAACUGUCCAUUCUCUCUUGCACAUGCAACCACAGGAGCGCACGGAUCACACCAACGCCACAGAACCAUGUCGGACUCAGAGACUGCAGCUCCUGCCGAGACCCCUGUCCCAGCACCCUGUGUGGCCAUCAAGGCAGAUCUAGACAAAUGUGUAAAGGAGAAUGGUGAGGAAGCGUGUAAGGAGCUAAUGGAGGCAUUUGCUGCCUGUGUGAAGAGCAAUGCUGAAGCGUCAUGAGGAGCUCAACAUGCAGGAAAAGGUUUCACUGCACUGAGUCCUCCACCUUCCCAGAAUUCCCUGCAGCUCAUGGCACUGGACUAAACGAUGGGGUUUGGGGUUUGGCAGCAGAGACCAUAUUUGUGUCUCUUCCCUUCUCUACCCCCCUGUGAAGCUUAAAUAGAUUCCUCCAACCACCAACCUCUCCUCCCCUUUUGUGGCUGAUUGUAUUGAUCUGAUCUGUAGACAGUUUGAGAUUUGAUGUAAAUUAUGUGUCUCAGAUGCUUUCAAAAUGGAAUAAAGAUUUAAAAAAUGGUUCGAUAUUUGUUACUGAAUUUGUUUGACAAUGUUUGUUUU